UCCGGCUUGUCGCCGGCGGUCCCCUUAGAGUGCCCAACUGAAUGAUGGCAACUAAAGGCGAGGGUUGCGCUCGUUGCGGGACUUAACCCAACAUCUCACGUCACGAGCUGACGACAGCCAUGCAGCACCUGUCUCCGCGCCCCUUGCGGGGACCGCCCAUCUCUGGGCGCAGCACGGGAUGUCAAGGGUAGGUAAGGUUUUUCGCGUUGCAUCGAAUUAAACCACAUGCUCCACCGCUUGUGCGGGCCCCCGUCAAUUCCUUUGAGUUUCAGGCUUGCGCCCGUACUCCCCAGGUGGGAUACUUAUCACUUUCGCUUAGCCACUCAGGUAAACCCGAACAGCUAGUAUCCAUCGUUUACGGCGUGGACUAC
RNAcentral lists this unclassified non-coding RNA (371 nucleotides) under uncultured bacterium. RNAcentral's name for it is "contains 16S-23S intergenic spacer region". The record is from RNAcentral.